This 21-nucleotide transfer RNA is filed under the name Polytomella magna. RNAcentral describes it as "A-site tRNA anticodon loop from Polytomella magna (PDB 8APO, chain C2)". Lineage: Eukaryota; Viridiplantae; Chlorophyta; Chlorophyceae; Chlamydomonadales; Chlamydomonadaceae. The record is from RNAcentral.
GCACUGGUUUCAUAAGCCAGC